GGGGUACCAGUGAGGACGAGCUCGUAGUCGAAUUUCUGGUUGGCGUGAAUGCGGCUUCUGGUCGUGUUACCGUGCAGCCAUCCUCUUGAGAACCAUUGAGGCCUUCACUGGUCAUUGAUGGGUAUCGAGAUUUUUACUUUGAAAAAAUUAGAGUGUUCAGGCAGGCAUUGCCCGAAUACUUUAGCAUGGAAUAAUGGAAAAGGACUUUGUCCAUUUUUGUUGGUUAUUGGCCAAAGUAAUGAUUAAUAAGGGACAGUUGGGGGGCCUUAGUUUUUUAUUGGCAGAGGGGAAAUUCUUGGUUUUAUUAAAGACUAACGGGAGCAAAAUCCU
Molecule: ribosomal RNA, 330 nt
Filed under: uncultured eukaryote
Lineage: Eukaryota
Description: partial 18S ribosomal RNA
Rfam family: Eukaryotic small subunit ribosomal RNA
Source: RNAcentral